AGGAAACAAAUGCAGACUUUUGAAAUGAGUAAUCAAAGUGAUGAUGCAAGACGAGCUUGGUGGAGUGCGGCGAGGGCAUCCAUAUUACUUGGAGGGGCCCAUGCUGCUGUGUCGAUAGUGAUUUUGGUGAUUACGAUACUUGUGUUAGUUGGUCAGGAGGCAGGAGACCAGAAGGGUGUGGGGUGGAUAUCUUAGUCCCCGAGGUUGAAGAACUUUGAAGACCCAUCUUUUUACGUUUGAAUUUUAAGCCCUGUAGCAGAUUGCAUUCCUGUUCUUUAUCUACUAUAUUUAUAAAUGUCAAUGCAGGAAUAUUACUAUUCAUAUGCUGUAAAGCACCUUAGUGAAAGUUUGCAAAUUAUAUAGGGCGCAAAACGAAUAAGGUAUAUGAUUAUUAAUUACUAUUAGCAAUAGCAACAGGUAUCUCUUUUGAUUUGUGGAGCAGUAAAUGAUACAAAAUUAAGACACUUUACAAAGAAGAAAUUGGAAAUUAAACAGUGCGCCUUUAAUUUCUUAAAUUCAAACAUGACAAUAAAGAAGUUUUACGCGAAUCCUCUAAUGAACCAAGACUAGUUCAGACCAAUAUGGGGAUUCCCAUAUUUGACCCCUAGCAUCAAAGAUGAGUUUCAGAAUUACGCACCAGCUGUAUGGUGACAGUAAUUUAUCUUUGACUUUGACGUUCAUAUUUCCAAAAGGAAAAAUGGCAUAUUCGUGUCUUACAUUCAUCUACCUACAUAUAUGGUAGAAGACUCUGCGUGUGGAUUUCUUAGUCCCGGAGGUUUGAUGGAACCUUGAUAGCAACAUGUUUCUCUUCUGCUUAGUCACUCGGUUCAUAAUAAACACACUUUGUUCAGUUUUAAAUUUGAAAUUAAUCAGUACUCCUCUAAUCUAAAAUGUACAUAACUUCAUUUAUAUUCAUUUUUGACCUCCUUGCAUCACCGAUGAGUCUUCUAAGGAUAAAACAACUGUAUGGAGCAGUGUAUGGCCCCCUAAUGCAUAAAUGUGUCUUAAUACAU
Molecule: long non-coding RNA, 1013 nt
Organism: Mizuhopecten yessoensis (Yesso scallop)
Lineage: Eukaryota; Metazoa; Mollusca; Bivalvia; Pectinida; Pectinidae
Exons: 3
Source: RefSeq, a predicted model, not a curated record